AGCGAACGCUGGCGGCAGGCCUAACACAUGCCAGUCGAACGAACCUUUCGGGGUUAUUGGCGGACGGGUGAGUAACACGUGGGAACGUGCCUUUAGGUUCGGAAUAACUAAGGGAAACUUGUGCUAAUACCGAAUGUGCCCUUCGGGGGAAAGAUUUAUCGCCGUUAGAGCGGCCAGCGUCGGAUUAGCUAGUUGGUUGAGGUAAUGGCUCACCAAGGCGACGAUCAGUAGCUGGUCAGAGAGCAUGAUCCGCCACAUUGGCACUGAGACACGGCCCAAACUCCUACGGGAUGGAGCAGAGGGGAACGUUGCGCAAUGGGCUAAAAGCUGACGCACCCAUGGCGCGUGAAUGAUGAAGGUCUUAGGAAUGUAAAAUUCUUUCACCGAGGACCAUAAUGACAGUACCCGGAGAAGAAGCCCCGGCUAACUUCGUG
This 434-nucleotide ribosomal RNA is filed under the name uncultured bacterium. Its description in RNAcentral is "partial 16S ribosomal RNA". It matches the Rfam family "Bacterial small subunit ribosomal RNA", at positions 29 to 507 of the family's 1533-position model. The record is from RNAcentral.